ACUAUACCUAGCCCAAACUAUUACCACUUAAUACGAAAAUAAUAAUAAAACAAAACAUUUACCCUCAAAUUAAAGUAUAGGAGAUAGAAAUUCUAAAUAUGGCGCUAUAGAGAAAGUACCGCAAGGGAAUGAUGAAACAAAAAAAUUAAAGUACACAAAAGCAAAGAUUACUUCUUGUACCUUUUGCAUAAUGAGUUAACUAGUAAAAACUUAGCAAAACGAAUUUUAGCUAAAUAACCCGAAACCAGACGAGCUACUUAUGAACAGUUUUUUAAGAACCAACUCAUCUAUGUGGCAAAAUAGUGAGAAGAUUUAUAAGUAGAGGUGAAANGCCUAACGAGCCUGGUGAUAGCUGGUUGUCCAGAAAAUGAAUNUNAGUUCAGGUUUAAANAUACCAAAAANANAAANAAANNNACUGUAUCUUUAAAAGUUAGUCUAAAAAGGUACAGCCUUUUAGAAAUGGAUACAACCUUCACUAGAGAGUAAGACUUUACAACACCAUAGUAGACCUAAAAGCAGCCAUCAAUUAAGAAAGCGUUAAAGCUCAACAAUAAAGAUAAAAAUAAUCCCAACAAUAGUGCAACUAACCCCUAGACCUAAUACUGGACCACUCUAUUGUUUAAUAGAAGCAAUAAUGUUAAUAUGAGUAACAAGAAAUAUUUUCUCCCUGCACAAGUUUAAGUCAGUAUUUGAUAAUAUUCUGACUGUUAACAGUAAAUAAAAACAACCUAACGAUAAAUAAUUUAUUAAUUACACUGUUAACCCAACACAGGAGUGCACCCAGGAAAGAUUAAAAGAAGUAAAAGGAACUCGGCAAACAGAAACCCCGCCUGUUUACCAAAAACAUCACCUCCAGCAUUACCAGUAUUGGAGGCACUGCCUGCCCAGUGACUAANNGUUAAACGGCCGCGGUAUNCUGACCGUGCAAAGGUAGCAUAAUCAUUUGUUCUNUAAAUAAGGACUUGUAUGAAUGGCCACACGAGGGUUUUACUGCCUCUCACUUCNAAUCAGUGAAAUUGACCANCCCGUGAGAGGGCGGGAAUAGACAAACAAGACGAGAAGACCCUAUGGAGCUUUAACUAACUAGUCCAAAAGAAAUAAAUCCAACCACUAAGGGAUAAUAACAUUCUUUAUGGACUAGCAGUUUUGGUUGGGGUGACCUCGGAGAACAAGAGAUCCUCCGAACGAUUUUAAAGACUAGACUUACAAGUCAAACCAAAUUAUCGCUUAUUGAUCCAAAAAACUUGAUCAACGGAACAAGUUACCCUAGGGAUAACAGCGCAAUCCUAUUCAAGAGUCCAUAUCGACAAUAGGGUUUACGACCUCGAUGUUGGAUCAGGACAUCCUGAUGGUGCAACCGCUAUCAAAGGUUCGUUUGUUCAACGAUUAAAGUCCUACGUGAUCUGAGUUCAGACCGGAGUAAU
Molecule: ribosomal RNA, 1424 nt
Filed under: Pantholops hodgsonii (chiru)
Lineage: Eukaryota; Metazoa; Chordata; Mammalia; Artiodactyla; Bovidae
Description: partial 16S ribosomal RNA
Rfam family: Bacterial large subunit ribosomal RNA
Source: RNAcentral